This 484-nucleotide ribosomal RNA is filed under the name uncultured bacterium. RNAcentral describes it as "partial 16S ribosomal RNA". It matches the Rfam family "Bacterial small subunit ribosomal RNA", at positions 29 to 507 of the family's 1533-position model. The record is from RNAcentral.
AUUGAACGCUGGCGGAAUGCUUUACACAUGCAAGUCGAACGGCAGCACGGGGGCAACCCUGGUGGCGAGUGGCGAACGGGUGAGUAAUACAUCGGAACGUGCCCGGUCGUGGGGGAUAACGUAGCGAAAGUUACGCUAAUACCGCAUACGAUCUGAGGAUGAAAGCGGGGGACCUUCGGGCCUCGCGCGAUCGGAGCGGCCGAUGUCAGAUUAGGUAGUUGGUGGGGUAAAGGCCUACCAAGCCGACGAUCUGUAGCUGGUCUGAGAGGACGACCAGCAACACGGGGAGGGAGACGCGCCCCCGCCCCGGCCGGGGGGAGCCGUGGGGGAUUUUUGGACAAGGGGCGCAAGCUUAAUCCAGCCUUCCCGGGGGAAGGACAAGGGCUUUCGGUUUGUAAACUGUUUUUGUAGGAAAGAAAAAGUUUCUGCCUAAUACCGGGGGCCAAUGACGUUACCGAAAAAAUAAGCACCGGCUAACUACGUC